UCGACCAGGAGAAAGGAAACCAAGGAAAACCCUUGUUUCCAGAAAUUAACAAGAUUAGAAGGGAAAUCAAAGCCAAAACUAAUGCAUGAACUCAAAUAUCUAACCAUCUAAGCUUGUCCAACAAGUGGUAUAAAGGAAGAAGGUUCAACUCACUCGAAGCAACAAGGAAAUCAAGAACGAGGUAAAACCCAAGUUUAGGUGGUCAUGCUUCGCUCGGAUCGAACACACUUCAUUUUGCCCUUCAUGCACUUCCAGAAUUUGUAAAGUUGUAAACGGGUCAAAAUGCUUUUGUUGCAAGUAGCUUACGUUUAGUUGUUAAACUAUAAUCAAUACUUAUGUUAUGUCUUUUAUAAAUUCUAGUUGGUGUGUAAACGUUUAAAAAGGGAAUGGUUUUGUAUGUACAACUAAGUUUGUUUUU
Long non-coding RNA from Helianthus annuus (common sunflower), 418 nucleotides. RefSeq lists it as uncharacterized. The transcript has 3 exons. Lineage: Eukaryota; Viridiplantae; Streptophyta; Magnoliopsida; Asterales; Asteraceae. The record is from RefSeq and is a predicted model, not a curated record.